Molecule: ribosomal RNA, 369 nt
Filed under: uncultured bacterium
Lineage: Bacteria
Description: bacterial SSU rRNA
Rfam family: Bacterial small subunit ribosomal RNA
Source: RNAcentral
AUUGAACGCUGGCGGCGCGCCUAAUACAUGCAAGUCGAGCGAGAAGACGUAGCAAUACGUUUGUAAAGCGGCGAACGGGUGAGGAAUACAUGGGUAACCUACCCUCGAGUGGGGAAUAACUAGCCGAAAGGUUAGCUAAUACCGCGUACGCUCCUUGGACUUCGGUUCAGGGAGGAAAGCGAUACCGUGGGUAUCGCGCUCUUGGAUGGGCUCAUGUCCUAUCAGCUUGUUGGUGAGGUAACGGCUCACCAAGGCUUCGACGGGUAGCUGGUCUGAGAGGACGAUCAGCCACACUGGCACUGCGACACGGGCCAGACUCCUACGGGGAGGCAGCAGUAAGGAAUAUUGCGCAAUGGGCGAAAGCCUGAC